UUACACAUGCAAGUCGAACGGCAGCAUGAUCUAGCUUGCUAGAUUGAUGGCGAGUGGCGAACGGGUGAGUAAUACAUCGGAACGUGCCCUGUAGUGGGGGAUAACUAGUCGAAAGAUUAGCUAAUACCGCAUACGACCUGAGGGCGAAAGUGGGGGACCGCAAGGCCUCAUGCUAUAGGAGCGGCCGAUGUCUGAUUAGCUAGUUGGUGAGGUAAAGGCUCACCAAGGCGACGAUCAGUAGCUGGUCUGAGAGGACGAUCAGCCACACUGGGACUGAGACACGGCCCAGACUCCUACGGGAGGCAGCAGUGGGGAAUUUUGGACAAUGGGCGAAAGCCUGAUCCAGCAAUGCCGCGUGUGUGAAGAAGGCCUUCGGGUUGUAAAGCACUUUUGUCCGGAAAGAAAUGGCUCUGGUUAAUACCUGGGGUCGAUGACGGUACCGGAAGAAUAAGGACCGGCUAACUACGUGCCAGCAGCCGCGGUAAUACGUAGGGUCCAAGCGUUAAUCGGAAUUACUGGGCGUAAAGCGUGCGCAGGCGGUUGUGCAAGACCGAUGUGAAAUCCCCGAGCUUAACUUGGGAAUUGCAUUGGUGACUGCACGGCUAGAGUGUGUCAGAGGGGGGUAGAAUUCCACGUGUAGCAGUGAAAUGCGUAGAGAUGUGGAGGAAUACCGAUGGCGAAGGCAGCCCCCUGGAAUAACACUGACGCUCAUGCACGAAAGCGUGGGGAGCAAACAGGAUUAGAUACCCUGGUAGUCCACGC
RNAcentral lists this ribosomal RNA (762 nucleotides) under uncultured Ralstonia sp. RNAcentral describes it as "bacterial SSU rRNA". It matches the Rfam family "Bacterial small subunit ribosomal RNA", at positions 49 to 800 of the family's 1533-position model. The record is from RNAcentral. Lineage: Bacteria; Pseudomonadati; Pseudomonadota; Betaproteobacteria; Burkholderiales; Burkholderiaceae.